GCGCCACCAAAAUGGUCACCAGACUACGGAUCUGGAGGUUAGGAGUUCGACUCUUCUCGGGCGCGCCA
RNAcentral lists this transfer RNA (68 nucleotides) under Alphaproteobacteria bacterium. RNAcentral describes it as "tRNA-Ser". Lineage: Bacteria; Pseudomonadati; Pseudomonadota; Alphaproteobacteria. The record is from RNAcentral.